RNAcentral lists this ribosomal RNA (253 nucleotides) under uncultured bacterium. RNAcentral's name for it is "partial 16S ribosomal RNA". It matches the Rfam family "Bacterial small subunit ribosomal RNA", at positions 524 to 776 of the family's 1533-position model. The record is from RNAcentral.
UACGUAGGGGGCAAGCGUUGUCCGGAUUUAUUGGGCGUAAAGAGCGUGUAGGCGGCUAGGUAGGUCCGUUGUGAAAACUCGAGGCUCAACCUCGAGACGCCGAUGGAAACCAUCUAGCUAGAGUCCGGAAGAGGAGAGUGGAAUUCCUGGUGUAGCGGUGAAAUGCGCAGAUAUCAGGAGGAACACCAAUGGCGAAGGCAGCUCGCUGGAACGGUACUGACGCUGAGGCGCGAAAGCGUGGGGAGCGAACAGG